This 776-nucleotide ribosomal RNA is filed under the name uncultured Ureaplasma sp. RNAcentral describes it as "bacterial SSU rRNA". It matches the Rfam family "Bacterial small subunit ribosomal RNA", at positions 717 to 1509 of the family's 1533-position model. Lineage: Bacteria; Bacillati; Mycoplasmatota; Mycoplasmoidales; Mycoplasmoidaceae. The record is from RNAcentral.
GAAGGCGCCAACUUGGACUAUUACUGACGCUUAAGGCUCGAAAGUGUGGGGGAGCAAAUAGGAUUAGAUACCCUAGUAGUCCACACCGUAAACGAUCAUCAUUAAAUGUCGGCUCGAUUAUGAGUCGGUGUUGUAGCUAACGCAUUAAAUGAUGUGCCUGGGUAGUACAUUCGCAAGAAUGAAACUCAAACGGAAUUGACGGGGACCCGCACAAGUGGUGGAGCAUGUUGCUUAAUUUGACAAUACACGUAGAACCUUACCUAGGUUUGACAUCUAUUGCAAUGCUAUAGAAAUAUAGCGGAGGUUAACAAUAUGACAGGUGGUGCAUGGUUGUCGUCAGCUCGUGUCGUGAGAUGUUGGGUUAAGUCCCGCAACGAGCGCAACCCCUUUCGCUAGUUAAUUUAUCUAUCGAUACUGCUACCGCAAGGUAGAGGAAGGUGGGGAUGACGUCAAAUCAUCAUGCCCCUUAUAUCUAGGGCUGCAAACGUGCUACAAUGGCUAAUACAAACAGCUGCAAUUCCGCAAGGUUGAGCGAAUCUGAUAAAGUUAGUCUCAGUUCGGAUAGAGGGCUGCAAUUCGCCCUCUUGAAGUUGGAAUCACUAGUAAUCGCGAAUCAGACAUGUCGCGGUGAAUACGUUCUCGGGUCUUGUACACACCGCCCGUCAAACUAUGGGAGCCGGUAAUAUCUGAAACCGUACUGUUAACCUUUUUGGAGGCAUACGUCUAGGGUAGGAUUGGUGACUGGAGUUAAGUCGUAACAAGGUAUCCCUAUCCUU